Molecule: ribosomal RNA, 690 nt
Filed under: uncultured bacterium
Lineage: Bacteria
Description: bacterial SSU rRNA
Rfam family: Bacterial small subunit ribosomal RNA
Source: RNAcentral
GAAAGAAAGAUUAAUACCCGAUGGGAUAAUUAUUCCGCAUGGUUUGAUUAUUAAAGGAUUCCGGUAAAGGAUGGGGAUGCGUUCCAUUAGGUUGUUGGUGAGGUAACGGCCCACCAAGCCUUCGAUGGAUAGGGGUUCUGAGAGGAAGGUCCCCCACAUUGGAACUGAGACACGGUCCAAACUCCUACGGGAGGCAGCAGUGAGGAAUAUUGGUCAAUGGGCGCUAGCCUGAACCAGCCAAGUAGCGUGAAGGAUGACUGCCCUAUGGGUUGUAAACUUCUUUUAUAUUAGAAUAAAGUGCAGUAUGUAUACUGUUUUGUAUGUAUAAUAUGAAUAAGGAUCGGCUAACUCCGUGCCAGCAGCCGCGGUAAUACGGAGGAUCCGAGCGUUAUCCGGAUUUAUUGGGUUUAAAGGGAGCGUAGGUGGACUGGUAAGUCAGUUGUGAAAGUUUGCGGCUCAACCGUAAAAUUGCAGUUGAUACUGUCAGUCUUGAGUACAGUAGAGGUGGGCGGAAUUCGUGGUGUAGCGGUGAAAUGCUUAGAUAUCACGAAGAACUCCGAUUGCGAAGGCAGCUCACUGGACUGCAACUGACACUGAUGCUCGAAAGUGUGGGUAUCAAACAGGAUUAGAUACCCUGGUAGUCCACACAGUAAACGAUGAAGACUCGCUGUUUGCGAUAUACAGUAAGCG